GACGAACGCUGGCGGCGUGCUUAACACAUGCAAGUCGAACGCUGAAGCUCAGCUUUUGUUGGGUGGAUGAGUGGCGAACGGGUGAGUAACACGUGAGUAACCUGCCCCCUUCUUUGGGAUAACGCCCGGAAACGGGUGCUAAUACUGGAUAUUCACUGGUCUUCGCAUGGGGGUUGGUGGAAAGGGUUUUUCUGGUGGGGGAUGGGCUCGCGGCCUAUCAGCUUGUUGGUGGGGUGAUGGCCUACCAAGGCUUUGACGGGUAGCCGGCCUGAGAGGGUGACCGGUCACAUUGGGACUGAGAUACGGCCCAGACUACUACGGGAGGCAGCAGUGGGGAAUAUUGCACAAUGGGCGAAAGACUGAUGCAGCGACGCCGCGUGAGGGAUGGAGGCCUUCGGGUUGUGAACCUCUUUCGCUCAUGGUCAAGCCGCAACAAUGGUUGUGGUGAGGGUAGUGGGUAAAGAAGCGCCGGCUAACUACGUG
Molecule: ribosomal RNA, 483 nt
Filed under: uncultured bacterium
Lineage: Bacteria
Description: partial 16S ribosomal RNA
Rfam family: Bacterial small subunit ribosomal RNA
Source: RNAcentral